Cynoglossus semilaevis (tongue sole) is the source of this 774-nucleotide long non-coding RNA. RefSeq lists it as uncharacterized. Lineage: Eukaryota; Metazoa; Chordata; Actinopteri; Pleuronectiformes; Cynoglossidae. The record is from RefSeq and is a predicted model, not a curated record. The transcript is spliced from 7 exons.
GGUCCAACAGGUCCAGGGGGUCCACGGUCACCAGAAGAACCAGGACCUCCCUGUUUACCAGGCUCCCCCUACAGACGAAAACAUAAACCCGUUGUCAUGAACGUGAGCACUUACAGAAGGUCCAGGAAGACCAGGGAAACCUCUCUCUCCACGUUGUCCGGGCAGACCUACAAUACCACGGGAUCCAGACAGACCCUGAGGACCUAAAGGUCCAUCAGCUCCCUGCGCGGUGAGGAAAAGUUAAGGCUCUCCCUUCUCGCCUUGUGCACCAGGUGCGCCACGAAGUCCAGCAUCUCCAUGUCUCCCUGGAGGUCCAGCAUCACCACGAACUCCCUUUGGUCCGUCUUUGCCAGCAGGUCCGGCAGGACCAGCAGGACCGGGAUUUCCCUGGGAUGGGAAGACGCAGAAGAAGCAAAAGUGCUCCCUGAGCUCCACGGGCUCCUUUAGCUCCUGUCACGCCAGUUGGUCCCUGGAAAAGAUGACACAGAAUUCUUGUUUUUAAAAAGUGAUGACUUUUAUUUUGCCAACAGAAAUGAUCCCCAACCAGUGUGCUGUGGAAAAUGAUCCACUUUCAUGUCCAGGAGCUCCAGAUGGUCCCUGAGGUCCAGAAGAACCAGCCUCUCCCUUCUGUCCACCUUCACCAGUUUCUCCUUUGGCACCGGGCUGACCAUCUGCCCCCUGCAGGGGGUCCAGCGAAAACAGCAGGUCCAGGAGGUCCGAUUUCACCACGGUCACCCUGGAUCAAUGAAAGAUGAUACUCACAGGAGCACCGCG